RNAcentral lists this ribosomal RNA (343 nucleotides) under uncultured bacterium. RNAcentral's name for it is "bacterial SSU rRNA". It matches the Rfam family "Bacterial small subunit ribosomal RNA", at positions 335 to 667 of the family's 1533-position model. The record is from RNAcentral.
ACUCCUACGGGAGGCAGCAGUGGGGAAUAUUGCACAAUGGGCGCAAGCCUGAUGCAGCCAUGCCGCGUGUGUGAAGAAGGCCUUCGGGUUGUAAAGCACUUUCAGUCGUGAGGAAGGUAGUGUAGUUAAUAGCUGCAUUAUUUGUACGUUAGCGACAGAAGAAGCACCGGCUAACUCCGUGCCAGCAGCCGCGGUAAUACGGAGGGUGCGAGCGUUAAUCGGAAUUACUGGGCGUAAAGCGCAUGCAGGUGGUUUGUUAAGUCAGAUGUGAAAGCCCGGGGCUCAACCUCGGAAUAGCAUUUGAAACUGGCAGACUAGAGUACGUGUAGGAGGGGGUAGUAAG